Hippocampus comes (tiger tail seahorse) is the source of this 1397-nucleotide long non-coding RNA. RefSeq lists it as uncharacterized. Lineage: Eukaryota; Metazoa; Chordata; Actinopteri; Syngnathiformes; Syngnathidae. The transcript is spliced from 2 exons. The record is from RefSeq and is a predicted model, not a curated record.
AUUUUUUUGUUGCCGUUGUGUUAAUUGAAAUUUGAUCUAAGUACUUGAGCAGAGGUCUCCAAUCCUGUUCCUCAACGGCCGGUAUUCCAGAUGUUUUCUCUAUCCAUUCUGCAACACACCUGAUUCAUAUGAGAUCUGCAAAAGCUGGCUAAUAAUCCUUCAUUGAAUCAGGUGUGUUGCAGCAGUGAGUUAUGGAAAACAACCAGGAAAUCAGCCCUUGAGGAGUAGGUAUCGAAGACCCCUGGACUAGAGGUAUCGGAAUGCCGGAGCUCGGGGAGCACAGCGCCAGGCGACCCCACCACAAAGCGCCGGUCGGGCGGCGCUGCAGCCACAGGAAGGCUGCAGCCGCGAACGUCCGCACAGGCGUCGGCACCUCCUUCUCCUCUCCACCCCCUUGCCGCCUCGUCCGGUGCCAACCUCGGUCCACUUUUUUUGGGGGGGAAUUAUUUUCUUCUUUUUUUAAAUUUUUUAAAUAUUUUUUAAAUUAUUUGUUCGCUUUGCCGUCCGAACUGCUGCCGUAUCCCAGAGGUGCCAUCAGUCGAGAUUCUGAGCGCGUCUGCCGCUGCGCUCUCGGAGCGGAUGCUCGCGGCGGCGCGGAGCUGAGAGCUCGGGAGGGGCGGUGCGAGAGUGAAGCAGAUUGGAGGGAGAAGUGGAGAGCUCGCUCCAGCUGUGUGCACGCUUGUUCAUCGAGUCGAGGCUGGCCUGGACACACCUGUCAAGAAGCACGCGCACACUCACUUAAUUGACGUCAACGAUAACAGGACUUUCGUAUAAGCAAUGUUUUUUUUGGGAAAUGGAAAAGAGCCCAUGCCGGAAUAAAAAUGUUAAGUUGGUUCAGACAUAUAUAACAAUCAAUUGCUUGAUCUGAGAAACUGAUCAUUUUGGGGUGGUCUGUUGGGUGUCAUAAGCAGGUUGCAACAGAGAUACACAGAGACUGGAGGAGUUAUAGAAAGGAUUAGAACUGGAUGUCCCUGGGAAUUUUCGUGGUUCAAAAAAAAACACCUGUUGGGAAUUCAGCAGUUCACCUGCUUAUCAUAUGCAUAUUUGUCAUCGUUAAUUUGGUCACAAUUGUGAAGUCACUUGUUGCUAGGCAGAAUUCAUGGGGCUGAAUGCACUUGGACACCAACGUCCAAUAAAAUGUAUUUCUAGGAAUUUAUCUUAAUGUUUUUAAUCAGUUCAUUUGGCCUUUGGGUGAGGUCACUUGCUGCUUGGCAAAAUUAAUCAGGAUUUACUUGCAACAAACUCCAAUAAAAUAGAUUUAACUGGUAGCUCUAUCAUUAUGUCAACAAUUUGAUCCGUUUGUUGAUUCGGUCCAUUUGUGAGUUCACCUGUCACUCGACAGAAUCCAGUGGGCUCAAUCACCUGCCAUCCAGUCCAAUAAAAACAGUUGUACCUAA